This 301-nucleotide ribosomal RNA is filed under the name uncultured bacterium. Its description in RNAcentral is "partial 16S ribosomal RNA". It matches the Rfam family "Bacterial small subunit ribosomal RNA", at positions 509 to 807 of the family's 1533-position model. The record is from RNAcentral.
CAGUCGCCACGGUAAUACGUAGGGUGCGAGCGUUAAUCGGAAUUACUGGGCGUAAAGCGUGCGCAGGCGGUUAUAUAAGACAGAUGUGAAAUCCCCGGGCUCAACCUGGGACCUGCAUUUGUGACUGUAUAGCUAGAGUACGGUAGAGGGGGAUGGAAUUCCGCGUGUAGCAGUGAAAUGCGUAGAUAUGCGGAGGAACACCGAUGGCGAAGGCAAUCCCCUGGACCUGUACUGACGCUCAUGCACGAAAGCGUGGGGAGCAAACAGGAUUAGAUACCCGUGUAGUCCCUGUCUCUUAUAC